CAACAUUUCCCAUGCCCCAAGCCUGCUUCCCCUUCCUUUGGAGCUUGUGCAGGCACUGAGCCAGUUUAAACAACACACACCUGAAGGCACACCCCCAAGAGAUGAAGAGUCCCCAUUGUAGAGGCCACCAGAGUAGAGAGAUGGUUCCAGAGACAUGUGGAACACUAACAACAUGCUAGAGAAAAGACAACCACGCCUAAGGUGUUUGGUCUGAGAAGGAGACAGGAGUGUUUGACUGCAUGAGGUGUGAAUAGGUACCCCUCCAUAAUCUGCUCCCCUGAGGAAAGGGGGCUUGUCCCUCGGGGAAGCACCCCCGACUCCCCCAUCCCCAUUUGGUGGCCUUUCAAGCAAGCAACGGCUUCAGGAGAGCUCCGUGGAGAGCCUGAGAGAAGUCUCGCUCAGAAGCUGGGCUGGGCAGGGAAAGGGUGAGGAAAGCCUCUCUGGGCAAACAGUUCCAGGACUGCCACAACACACUGUGCUCUUUUGUCAUGGCAUGGUCAGUCCCUCACAUGAGAUGUCAAUAGGCCUGGAGCAUGAGGAGACUCCAGUGGGAACAUCACAAGGCGAAUCCAGUUCUGCCCCUACUUUCUUGGCCUGACCAGCUCAGCAUGAGACCUCCAAGGAGACGUGCACUCCCUCUGGCUACACGGGCCUGAGCAUACCUUCUCACUCUUCUGCAGCUGAAGGGGUCACCCCAUUGCCUCCCCAAGAAGCAGGUCUCUCCAGACAAACCAUCUUUCUCCUACCUGGCAAUACCCAAGGAGCAGACCGUAUUUGCUCAGGCAAUGAAUUUUCUGGCAAACUCUAUUUGAUUUACAUGCAAAACUUCACAUCUCAAACAAACAAACAGAAAACCCAGUCAUGUCUGGACGCUGCUGGUUUUUUCCAGCUGAACAAGACCUGGAUUUUGUUGGUUGUAGAUGUAAUUCCAGAGGGAGAACCCUUAACCAACAUUAAGAAGUCUAGCUACAUUCCUGGAGUCCAGCUAACAUGGAGAAACCAUACUGAGAGACCACAUGGAGCAGUGGGGACAUGAGAGUGUACAGGGAGGGAGAGGAGUCCAGCUGCCUCAUAAUCCUACCAGAGCCCAGGUGUCAGCCAUCUCUGCCAACCUGCAGCAUGAGUGAGGAUGCGAGUGUGUCACCUGGCAAGUGAAUCCUCUGGCCCCAGUCAAGGAGCUGCAGUUGAUGGUGCAUGGAGCAGAGAGAAACUGCCCUGCUGAGCCCUGCCAAAAUCAUAAAAUUUAUUUCACACCAGUGAAACAGCAUACACAACACUGCCAAUCUCAAACCUCAGACUUUAUCUUCCAGUGUAAGUUUGAUUCUUAAGAAGUAUACGGAGUCUGUGCAGCGGAGCUGGAACAUGAACAUGAUGGCUGGAGCUAAAGCAGCCAUGUGCAUCACACUGGGAAAGCCUUAAGGAUGGUGUAUGAUGCAGCCAAUUAGAAGGAACCUGAGCUCAUUCCAGCCCUGGAUCACUUCCUCAGUCUCUUAAGUGAGAGUUAAAUAAACAUUUGAUCAGUUUUUAAA
Long non-coding RNA from Rhinopithecus roxellana (golden snub-nosed monkey), 1529 nucleotides. RefSeq lists it as uncharacterized. The record is from RefSeq and is a predicted model, not a curated record. The transcript has 8 exons. Lineage: Eukaryota; Metazoa; Chordata; Mammalia; Primates; Cercopithecidae.